Molecule: non-coding RNA, 29 nt
Filed under: Homo sapiens (human)
Lineage: Eukaryota; Metazoa; Chordata; Mammalia; Primates; Hominidae
Source: RNAcentral
CAAGAAGGAAGGCUUUGUUGAAUGACGGG